GAUGAACGCUGGCGGCGUGCCUAAUACAUGCAAGUCGAGCGAACAGAUAAGGAGCUUGCUCCUUUGACGUUAGCGGCGGACGGGUGAGUAACACGUGGGUAACCUACCUAUAAGACUGGAAUAACUCCGGGAAACCGGGGCUAAUGCCGGAUAACAUUUAGAACCGCAUGGUUCUAAAGUGAAAGAUGGUUUUACUAUCACUUAUAGAUGGACCCGCGCCGUAUUAGCUAGCUGGUAAGGUAACGGCUUACCAAGGCAACGAUACGUAGCCGACCUGAGAGGGUGAUCGGCCACACUGGAACUGAGACACGGUCCAGACUCCUACGGGAGGCAGCAGUAGGGAAUCUUCCGCAAUGGGCGAAAGCCUGACGGAGCAACGCCGCGUGAGUGAUGAAGGUCUUCGGAUCGUAAAACUCUGUUAUUAGGGAAGAACAAAUGUGUAAGUAACUGUGCACGUCUUGACGGUACCUAAUCAGAAAGCCACGGCUAACUACGUG
This 497-nucleotide ribosomal RNA is filed under the name uncultured bacterium. Its description in RNAcentral is "partial 16S ribosomal RNA". It matches the Rfam family "Bacterial small subunit ribosomal RNA", at positions 28 to 507 of the family's 1533-position model. The record is from RNAcentral.